CACACAUAAAGGACAAAUAAGCUCAAGAGGAGGAUCUAGAUGCUUUCAGUUUUAACUAUUCACCAAUAGUGGAAAAGGCAGAAUGUCUAAGCUAUGGCUUGGUGACCAAUAGGGUAGCUGUGUAUCUCUCACAUGACUCACUGCCCCUGUCUUUCACAUGGGCUGUAAUUUAGUUCAAUUCAGAACUGCAGAUAGUACGGCUUCCACAGGAGCAAGGGAUGCCUGAGCAGAAGUGGCUGAGUUCCUAGUGACUUUACGAAGGACUUCUCCGCCUUCCUGCGGCACGAAAACAGGGAUUCUGCACCUGCACUGGGGACGGGCUGGUAAAAGCCUCUGCUCUGCCUCCGGGGACCAGGAACUACAGCAAAUAACCAUGUUGAAAUUGGAUCUUGGCAAAAUGACCAACAAAUUCAUGAAGGAAGCUGAAGGCAAUUUGAAUAAUGGUUCUACCGAAAUUGAAGAAACAUGGAUAUCUCCAAAGGAUAGUAGAGAGCUUGGUUAGUUGUACCCUAAAAUUAGGAUGUGAUUAAGGUAUGUCAUUUCUUUGGGUUCAAUUGAAAUGCUUUGUUCUUUCCAUGUCAGAGAAUUUCUUCCCUUUUUUCCUUAGUCUGUCUCUCCCUCUCUCCUCUCUUCCUUUUCUUCCUCUCAUUAGCAGAUGUCUUUUAUAAUUGAUGUUGUUCACGUCCUUUCAUCAAAUGUAUGCCACAUCACUUAGGCAAACCAGCAGACAGGGCACCUAAACACACAUUAGAGGAGAAUGGCAUCUCGGAGACGCUUCGACUGUCUCAUCAGGGCAGUUAUAAUAAGCAUCUUGGUGCCGCUGAAUGCAAUUCUGUAUUCAAAUAAUAGCUUUCAUCUUUGCUCUUUUUAAAUAUAAAAGUAAACCUUCAAGCCCUUUGAAGGACCUAACCAACAACAUACAUAUGAAAAUAGAUCAGUAAGGCUUUGAGAAAUGUCCUUAUGUAAAAUCUUCAAGAAAGACCUCCAGGUAAAUGAUGGCUUUUAAUAAGACACAUGGCAAUCUCAAUUAUGAGAAUCAUUAUUGUGUACCCUGUGUGCCAUUUUAUGUUCCCAGCAGGAUACCUUUUUUUUUCUCUCAUGAAGAAUUUCCAGGGCUGUCUACUGUCUACUGUGUAAAGUACAUUGAGUGUUUCCCCGAAGCUGCACUAUUCAAAGAAAAAAAAAAAAAAGCUAAACACACAGCAACAACAACAAAAACUUUCUCAAGUGGUCAGACAAACUGGAACUAUUGGAUUAUAGUCCUGAAUUUUAACCAGAACAAAGAGAUUUUCUCCAAGGAAAAGAAGGUCAGAAUUUCUUCAUUUGAGGCAUAAGCAAAAUCCAAUGUAACAUUAAGGAAAGCAAUUUUAAGCAAAAUAUGAUGACCAUACACUAAAAUGUAAAUAGCUAUCUCAAAGAGAAAGCUGCGUUGGGCUAUGAAGCUAGAGGCUACACGUCAAUGAAAUGUUCAUCAACUUUUUAGACAUUGACAUAGUGGAAAUUUAAUAAAAGAAAAAGAUG
Heterocephalus glaber (naked mole-rat) is the source of this 1521-nucleotide long non-coding RNA. Lineage: Eukaryota; Metazoa; Chordata; Mammalia; Rodentia; Bathyergidae. The record is from Ensembl.